RNAcentral lists this long non-coding RNA (375 nucleotides) under Phasianus colchicus (ring-necked pheasant). RNAcentral's name for it is "lncRNA (ENSPCLG00000003961.1)". The record is from RNAcentral. Lineage: Eukaryota; Metazoa; Chordata; Aves; Galliformes; Phasianidae.
AGGUUUUGUAAAACGCGCAGUCAGCGCCUGAGUAGUUCCAGCCCCUCACCGUAACGUCACCGCCAUCGGCGACGCUGUGAGGUGUUCCAGGAGUGAAACUUCUUCUGUUGCUAUAUGCUGUGUCAGCACUGGGAGGCUCCACUGAUUCUCUGUGCUGAUGUAAGUGAAGCAGCAGAAACUGUUUACAGAGAGAAGACUACAAAAAUGCUAUGAAAGUGCUACAAGUGGAUGGGAUGUGUCAUGAAACACAAGGGCAUUUGUUGUGACGAUCGGAGUUGCUUUACUAGUUACAGCAAAAGUACCUCAUCCUCCUGGAAAGCACUCCAUAUUUCAAAUUACAAAGUCAACUUCGGGGUAGACCUGAGAAGUGUGUAG